AGGAUGAACGCUGGCGGCGUGCCUAACACAUGCAAGUCGAACGAAGCACUGCGGAUGGAGAUUACGUCAAAAUCUGCUUUGACUUAGUGGCGGACGGGUGAGUAAUGUGUGAGCAACCUGCCUUUCAGAGGGGGACAACAGUUGGAAACGACUGCUAAUACCGCAUAAUGUAUUGGAAGGGCAUCCUUUUGAUACCAAAGGAGCAAUCCGCUGAAAGAUGGGCUCACAUCUGAUUAGCUAGUUGGUGGGGUAACGGCCUACCAAGGCUGCGAUCAGUAGCCGGACUGAGAGGUUGAACGGCCACAUUGGGACUGAGAUACGGCCCAGACUCCUACGGGAGGCAGCAGUGGGGAAUAUUGGGCAAUGGGCGAAAGCCUCGACCCAGCAACGCCGCGUGAAGGAAGAAGGUCUUCGGAUUGUAAACCUCUUUUAUGAGGGACGAAGGACGUGACGGUACCUCAUGAAUAAGCCACGGCUAACUACGUGCCAGCCGCCGC
RNAcentral lists this ribosomal RNA (497 nucleotides) under uncultured bacterium. Its description in RNAcentral is "bacterial SSU rRNA". It matches the Rfam family "Bacterial small subunit ribosomal RNA", at positions 26 to 518 of the family's 1533-position model. The record is from RNAcentral.